AUUUAUAAAACCCCCACCAGUUUGUCUCAAAGAUCAAUGUGGUCCACAAAAUAUAAAUUUCAGGUCGUCAUUUAAAAUGUUAAGCUGCUAAUUUUCUUUAGUGAGUAGAAUAAUCAGUUAUACUGGAUGCCAGAUAGAAGUCUUCACUCUCUAUAAACCACAUCAAGAGAUCACAGGAUGCAAAAGGCUUUCUCCUGGGAGCAUGCCCUGGAACCUAAAGCUCCAAAGUCUGUUGCCUGGUGAUUGGAUAGAAGCUGGAAUGUACUGGCAGAUCUAUUGUGGCAAGAAUGUGCAAAAUCCCUCUACAUGGCAUUUUGCACAAGAUUUGAUAAGAAAAUAUGGGGAAUUGCUCACUGGGGAUGCUAUUUUUUUUUUUUUUCGCCUGUUCCAUGCAAGCUCCAUUUAGAAGCCUCUAAGAACUCUAAGACUGGGGUCCAAAGCAAAUAACUAUAGCACACAACAAUCCACCCCUCAAAACAUAUCUUUUCCUCUAAUUUUUUUUGUUGUUGUUUACGAUGUUUCACAUAAGAUGAUCACACCACAUCAAUUAUGAUGAAAACCUUUGUUUGGGGGGUCUUGGAGGAAUUCCUCAGAAGAUCAAUCUUUUAAGUAAAAAUAAAGAAAUAUGUACAUAUAAAUAUGCCAGUCUCAGAUAUUAAUGUCAUUGAAAUAAUGGCCAUUGAUUUAUUUAUAUAGACCCUGUUACAUUAUUUAGUGUUAUCUUGGUGCUUUUAUUCAAACACAUUCUUUGGUUCUCUAACUAUUAAUGAUUCUAGAAGUUAUAUGAUCCAUUCUAUCCCCUAGCUUCACAUUAUCUUGUUAUAACCUUCAGCAACUAAUUUCCACUUUUGCGAUCAUUUGACUCCCAUCCCGACCAGCAGAGAAAUGUGGGAAAGAGUAAGAGGAUGCUGUGUUCCGGGGAAUGCUAAUUUCCUGGCUUGGUUUUGCCACCUGCUACCUAUAUGUAACCUUUCUGAAGCUCAGUUGUCAUUUGUGUAAUUGGGUAUAAUAACGCUUCACAGAGUUAUAAGGCUAAAAGAUACGGUACUUUGGAAAUUGCUUUGUAAAAUUCUGUGAAAGCAAAAGGCAAGAAAUUAUUAAGGCUCUUAAUGUCAAUGCCAGUCUAAUGACUAUGUCUGUUACUUCAUUUUUGGUGAUAUUGUCUUAAUAUUGAAAGUCAA
RNAcentral lists this long non-coding RNA (1181 nucleotides) under Macaca mulatta (Rhesus monkey). RNAcentral describes it as "lncRNA (ENSMMUG00000059949.1)". The record is from RNAcentral. Lineage: Eukaryota; Metazoa; Chordata; Mammalia; Primates; Cercopithecidae.